UUGGCUGAUCGCACCAUCACUUGUUGCAGUUGGGUGUUGGGUCGCAAUAUCACUGGUUGCAGCUGGUUGGUUGGUCGCACCAUCGCUGGUUGCAACUAAUUGGUUGGUCGCACCAUCACUGGUUGCAGCUGGUUGGUUGGUCGCACCAUUACUGGUUGCGGCUGGUUGGCUGAUCGCAACAUCACUGGUUGCAGCUGGUUGGUUGGUCGCACCAUUACUGGUUACAGCUGGUUGGCUGAUCCCACCAUCACUGGUUGCACUUGCCUGUUCGGUCGCACCAUCACUGGUCGCAGGUGGUUGGUUGGUCGCAGUGGUUUCAGCUGGUUGGCUGGUCGCACCAUCACUGGAUACCAGACUGGUAACUUCUGUAACAAUGUCUGGGGAUACGGCGGUAGAAGUAUCCUGAGAAUUGGCUAGACCUGUCAGUGUCAUUGCCAUGACAGCAUAUACCAUUAUACAGAUUGUGUUCAUUUUAGAAAUUUGUAAUUUUUAAAUCUGAAUCUUAAAGGUCUAAACAGAAUGCAUAGAAAUAGUUUGCACUGGCACUAAUGAGCGAAAUAAUAGAAAACUAUCUAACAAAAAGGUUUCUCACUUAUUACUAAGUUUUUAAACUAAAAUCUACCCCUGUCUAAAAAUCCCCACUUUCGGUCACGUUGAGUUCUAAACGUUGUCGCCGUCUGGCCAUGGCUUUUAUGUUAUACACAGAACUAUUAUUGAAUAUGGCGUAUUUAUAAUGGUCGAUGACGCAAUCAUAGCGCGUGCUUCUUCGUACAUCCAAUGUUAAAUAUUUGCUUGAUCAAACACUUCCAUCGCGCGCGUUAGAUUUCUCAGUAUACCUCCCAAGUAAAGUAUGUCUAUAAUAAUUGUUCAAGUUUUAAGCUAGUUCUCCUUACCGAAUUCUUAUUUUUAGUUGCAGGUACUUAUCUUUCGCAGUUUAUCGCGUGUCGAUAUAUGUUUACUUUAUUUCGCAAUGCGCAAAUGUGGUGGAGGUGACAAUAUUAAAGUUAUUUUUUGGACCAUGUUUUUCCAUGGUACCGUUUAAUCUGUUGUACGUGUUAAAGUAUUAAAUUUCAUAAACAAGGUGAUGUACAGAAUAAAUAGAUAGAUAAGUAUCUCCACAGAGGUUGACACGGCAUGUGUGCAGAGCAAACGAUACCAAAGUUUCGGUAGUGAUUUUCACAACACUCAAUCAACAAAGCACACGUGCAUCGCUUUUUCCUUUUGUAUUUGAAUUUCAAUUUCGCGCGAAACUGCUCACAGUGAGAUGAUUAUGACGUAAUAUAAAGUGAGAGAUAGUAAUAAUCACAACGAAUUAAACAAUGUGACAACUAUCGAAAAUAAUUACUUUGUUAAAUCACCAUGACAUGACUAAUGUGUCGGUUAG
This is a non-coding RNA of Ciona intestinalis (vase tunicate), 1384 nucleotides long. NCBI's taxonomy places the organism in Eukaryota, Metazoa, Chordata, Ascidiacea, Phlebobranchia, Cionidae. The record is from RefSeq and is a predicted model, not a curated record.